This 253-nucleotide ribosomal RNA is filed under the name uncultured bacterium. RNAcentral describes it as "partial 16S ribosomal RNA". It matches the Rfam family "Bacterial small subunit ribosomal RNA", at positions 524 to 776 of the family's 1533-position model. The record is from RNAcentral.
UACGAAGGGUGCAAGCGUUGUUCGGAUUUAUUGGGCGUAAAGCGCGCGCAGGCGGGCCUGUAAGUCAGAUGUGAAAUCUCGGGGCUCAACCCCGAACGUGCGUCUGAAACUACAGGUCUAGAAUGCCGAAGAGGGAAGCGGAAUUUCGCAUGUAGGGGUAAAAUCCGUAGAGAUGCGAAGGAACACCAGAGGCGAAGGCGGCUUCCUGGUCGGUUAUUGACGCUGAGGCGCGAAAGCGUGGGGAGCAAACAGG